RNAcentral lists this transfer-messenger RNA (367 nucleotides) under Pararcticibacter amylolyticus. RNAcentral's name for it is "Standard tmRNA". It matches the Rfam family "transfer-messenger RNA". Rfam says of the family: Bacterial tmRNA, also known as 10Sa RNA or SsrA, is named for its dual tRNA and mRNA-like properties. Lineage: Bacteria; Pseudomonadati; Bacteroidota; Sphingobacteriia; Sphingobacteriales; Sphingobacteriaceae. The record is from Rfam by way of RNAcentral.
GGGGUCGACCGGAAUUGACAGGAUGGCGGCAGGUAUGUAAGCAUGCAGCGCGUUGUGAGACUAGCGCUCUAAUCUGAACUCUCAAACUAUAAUUGGCGAAAAUCAAUACGCCUUAGCUGCCUAAUUUAGAAUUAGCUCAGCUUUUGUCCCGCUGACAAUCCGUUCUGUUUUGUCAGCAUCCGGGGCAUCGAUCAACGGAACUGGUCUGGUUAAGGUGUGAUAACCGGACGAGAUAAAGCACCUACGGAAGACGGUACAGGCAAUCCGCCAGCCUUCCCCUUCCCGACAAUUUAAUGGAGGAUAAGCAUGUAGAAAGCAUAAUUUGUUCCAUAUCUGGACGAGGGUUCGAAUCCCUCCGGCUCCACUU